Molecule: small nucleolar RNA, 94 nt
Organism: Amaranthus tricolor (Joseph's coat)
Lineage: Eukaryota; Viridiplantae; Streptophyta; Magnoliopsida; Caryophyllales; Amaranthaceae
Product: small nucleolar RNA Z103
Exons: 1
Source: RefSeq, a predicted model, not a curated record
AGGGAAGUGAUGAUUAUUUCCCCAGAUGAUCGAAGCUGAAAUAACUGAGCUAAUUUUCUCAUUCUUGAGAAUCCAAGCCAGAAUUCUGAUCCUG